UACGGAGGGUGCGAGCGUUGUCCGGAAUCAUUGGGCGUAAAGGGCGCGUAGGUGGCCCGGUCAGUUCGUGGUGAAAGCGCGGGGCUCAACCCUGCGUCGGCCAUGAAUACUGCCGCGGCUGGAGCACUGUAGAGGCAGGCGGAAUUCCGGGUGUAGCGGUGGAAUGCGUAGAGAUCCGGAAGAACGCCGGUGGCGAAGGCGGCCUGCUGGGCAGUUGCUGGACACUGAGGCGCGACAGCGUGGGACAA
This 248-nucleotide ribosomal RNA is filed under the name uncultured bacterium. Its description in RNAcentral is "partial 16S ribosomal RNA". It matches the Rfam family "Bacterial small subunit ribosomal RNA", at positions 524 to 771 of the family's 1533-position model. The record is from RNAcentral.